Molecule: ribosomal RNA, 497 nt
Filed under: uncultured bacterium
Lineage: Bacteria
Description: partial 16S ribosomal RNA
Rfam family: Bacterial small subunit ribosomal RNA
Source: RNAcentral
GACGAACGCUGGCGGCGUGCCUAAUACAUGCAAGUUGAGCGAUGAAGAUUGGUGCUUGCACCAAUUUGAAGAGCAGCGAACGGGUGAGUAACGCGUGGGGAAUCUGCCUUUGAGCGGGGGACAACAUUUGGAAACGAAUGCUAAUACCGCAUAACAACUUUAAACAUAAGUUUUAAGUUUGAAAGAUGCAAUUGCAUCACUCAAAGAUGAUCCCGCGUUGUAUUAGCUAGUUGGUGUGGUAAAGGCUCACCAAGGCGAUGAUACAUAGCCGACCUGAGAGGGUGAUCGGCCACAGUGGGACUGAGACACGGCCCAAACUCCUACGGGAGGCAGCAGUAGGGAAUCUUCGGCAAUGGACGAAAGUCUGACCGAGCAACGCCGCGUGAGUGAAGAAGGUUUUCGGAUCGUAAAACUCUGUUGGUAGAGAAGAACGUUGGUGAGAGUGGAAAGCUCAUCAAGUGACGGUAACUACCCAGAAAGGGACGGCUAACUACGUG